This 253-nucleotide ribosomal RNA is filed under the name uncultured bacterium. RNAcentral describes it as "partial 16S ribosomal RNA". It matches the Rfam family "Bacterial small subunit ribosomal RNA", at positions 524 to 776 of the family's 1533-position model. The record is from RNAcentral.
UACGGGGGGAGCAAGCGUUGUUCGGAUUUACUGGGCGUAAAGGGCGCGUAGGCGGCCGUGUAAGUCACUUGUGAAAUCCCGGGGCUCAACUCCGGGGCUGCAGGUGAGACUGCGUGGCUAGAGCACGGUAGAGGCGAGUGGAAUUCCCGGUGUAGCGGUGGAAUGCGUAGAUAUCGGGAAGAACACCGGUGGCGAAGGCGGCUCGCUGGGCCGUUGCUGACGCUGAGGCGCGAAAGCGUGGGGAGCAAACAGG